AACAGCUGCGGUAUUAUAACUGUACUAAGGUAGCAUAAUAAUUUGCCUUAUAAAUUAGGGCUAGAAUGAAUGGUUUGACGAAAAUUAUACUGUCUCUAUUUUAAUUAAUAGAAAUUAAUUUUUAUAGUGAAAAAGCUUAAAUAGUUUAAAGGGACGAGAAGACCCUAUUGAGUUUUGUAUUAGUUAUGAUAAAAUAAUUUAUUAGUUAAAUAAAAUUUAUGUUUAUUAUGUUUAAUUUUGGUUGGGGUGAUCAAGGAAUAAGAUAAACAUUACUUAACUUCCUUAAAGAAUUAGUUUUUUAGAAUAAUUAACCAAUGAUAUUGCUUAUAUGAUAAGUUACCAUAGGGAUAACAGCGUAAUUUUUUUGGAGAGUUCAUAUUAAAAAAAGAGAUUGCGACCUCGAUGUUGGAUUAAAAUAACCAUAUGGUGAAGAGGCUUUAUAUGGUGAAUCUGUUCGAUUUUUAAAAUUUU
This 471-nucleotide ribosomal RNA is filed under the name Robsonella campbelli. RNAcentral describes it as "Octopus campbelli partial large subunit ribosomal RNA". It matches the Rfam family "Bacterial large subunit ribosomal RNA", at positions 1926 to 2597 of the family's 2925-position model. RNAcentral also lists the same sequence under 1 other name. Lineage: Eukaryota; Metazoa; Mollusca; Cephalopoda; Octopoda; Octopodidae. The record is from RNAcentral.